Molecule: ribosomal RNA, 433 nt
Filed under: uncultured bacterium
Lineage: Bacteria
Description: partial 16S ribosomal RNA
Rfam family: Bacterial small subunit ribosomal RNA
Source: RNAcentral
AACGAACGCUGGCGGCAUGCCUAACACAUGCCAGUCGAACGAGACCUUCGGGUCUAGUGGCGCACGGGUGCGUAACGCGUGGGAACCUGCCCUUAGGUUCGGAAUAACUCCCCGAAAGGGGUGCUAAUACCGGAUAAUGUCUUCGGACCAAAGAUUUAUCGCCUUUGGAUGGGCCCGCGUUGGAUUAGCUAGUUGGUAGGGUAAAAGCCUACCAAGGCGACGAUCCAUAGCUGGUCUGAGAGGAUGAUCAGCCACACUGGGACUGAGACACGGCCCAGACUCCUACGGGAGGAGGAAGGGGGGAAUAUGGAAAAGGGGGGGAAGGCCUGAACCAGAAAGGCCGGGGGAGUAAUGAAGGCGUGGGGGUUGUAAAGUUUUUUAACCCGGGAGAAAAAUGACAGAACGGGAAGAAAAAGCCCCGGCUACCUCCGUG